This is a non-coding RNA of Talpa occidentalis (Iberian mole), 513 nucleotides long. NCBI's taxonomy places the organism in Eukaryota, Metazoa, Chordata, Mammalia, Eulipotyphla, Talpidae. The record is from the annotation of a RefSeq genome assembly.
AUGGCCUGGACUGUGCUCCUCCUCACCCUCCUCACUCAGGCCGUAGGUUCCUGGGCCCAGUCUGCUCUGACUCAGCCUUCCUCAGUGUCUGGGGCUCUGGGACAGUCAGUCACCAUCUCCUGUGCUGGGACCAGCAAUGACAUUGGGCGUUAUAAUGCUGUCUCUUGGCUCCAGCAGCUCCCUGGCAAGACACCCACACUCCUGAUUUAUGGUGUCAGUUCCCGGCCCUCAGGGAUCCCUGAUCGCUUCUCUGGCUCCAAGUCAGGCAACACGGCCACCUUGACCAUCUCUGGUCUCAAGCCUGAGGAUGAGGCUGAGUAUUACUGUAGCUCAAUCAGGACUGGUUAUACUUACCACAGUGGUCCCAGCCUGGACUCAGUUGUCCAGCACGACAUCUCCUUCUUCACUCGGGUCUGCGUUGCUGUCAGUGUGGCCUUUUUGGUGCUUACUCUUCUGCACAUUGCUGCUGAGAGAAGAGAUGCUGAGGAAGGGGAAAAUGUUGCUGAGACCUGA